GGAGGAAGAGAAAGCAAAUGCGAUUUCCUGAGUAGCGGCGAGCGAAACGGAACAUAGCCCAAACCAAGAGGCUUGCCUCUUGGGGUUGUAGGACAUUCUAUACGGAGUUACAAAGGAACGAGGUAGACGAAGCGACCUGGAAAGGUCCGUCGUAGAGGGUAACAACCCCGUAGUCGAAACUUCGUUCUCUCUUGAAUGUAUCCUGAGUACGGCGGAACACGUGAAAUUCCGUCGGAAUCUGGGAGGACCAUCUCCCAAGGCUAAAUACUCCCUAGUGAUCGAUAGUGAACCAGUACCGUGAGGGAAAGGUGAAAAGCACCCCGGAAGGGGAGUGAAAGAGAUCCUGAAACCGUGUGCCUACAAAUAGUCAGAGCCCGUUAACGGGUGAUGGCGUGCCUUUUGUAGAAUGAACCGGCGAGUUACGAUCCCGUGCGAGGUUAAGCUGAAGAGGCGGAGCCGCAGCGAAAGCGAGUCUGAAUAGGGCGUUUAGUACGUGGUCGUAGACCCGAAACCAGGUGAUCUACCCAUGUCCAGGGUGAAGUUCAGGUAACACUGAAUGGAGGCCCGAACCCACGCACGUUGAAAAGUGCGGGGAUGAGGUGUGGGUAGCGGAGAAAUUCCAAUCGAACCUGGAGAUAGCUGGUUCUCCCCGAAAUAGCUU
Molecule: ribosomal RNA, 661 nt
Filed under: Aquiflexum gelatinilyticum
Lineage: Bacteria; Pseudomonadati; Bacteroidota; Cytophagia; Cytophagales; Cyclobacteriaceae
Description: partial 23S ribosomal RNA
Rfam family: Bacterial large subunit ribosomal RNA
Source: RNAcentral